RNAcentral lists this unclassified non-coding RNA (716 nucleotides) under Hevea brasiliensis (rubber tree). The record is from RNAcentral. Lineage: Eukaryota; Viridiplantae; Streptophyta; Magnoliopsida; Malpighiales; Euphorbiaceae.
UCUUCUAUCUCCCCUUCUCUGUAAAGUUUGCUUUUUUUAUUUUUAUUUUUCUGUUGCCUUGCGUCCACUCAUGGCGUCUUCAAGGGAAGGACACUACAGGGGUGUGAGGAAGAGACCAUGGGGCCGCUACGCUGCCGAAAUACGUGACCCUUGGAAGAAAAGUAGGGUGUGGUUGGGUACAUUCGACACUCCUGAAGAGGCUGCGCUCGCUUAUGAUGGUGCAGCUCGCUCUCUCCGUGGAGCUAAGGCCAAAACCAACUUCCCCACGCCAGCUACUGGUCUUUCUCUGGACCUCAACGCCCCUUCUGAUUCUCACCAUCUCUGGAGCUCAACUGCUGGUCACCGCUUCGCCCUUGGUGAGUUCCUGCAAACUGGGGUUCUUAAAGAGAUUAGCUUUAACGGGGAGGCCUCAGGGUCGAUCCAAAAAGAGAGUGCUGUUACUGUUGGUGGUGGUGCUAGUGCUGGUACUCCGGUGCCGGAAACUAGUGUUAAGCCGUCGUUUUUGGGGAUUGUGCGACGUGGGUUGCCUAUAGAUUUGAACGAGCCUCCACCGUUGUGGCUGUGAUAUUUACUUAACGAUUGGCGAUGGGUUCUGUCGUUACUGUAGGGCAUUUUCCGGCUGGUUUUAAUCUUACUACUUUUCUCUUUUUUAAUCUCCCUUUUCUUACCCUUUCAUCUCAUUAUCUCUGUUUUCAAAGGGAGUAAUUACAUCAAAC